RNAcentral lists this ribosomal RNA (524 nucleotides) under uncultured bacterium. RNAcentral's name for it is "partial 16S ribosomal RNA". It matches the Rfam family "Bacterial small subunit ribosomal RNA", at positions 28 to 523 of the family's 1533-position model. The record is from RNAcentral.
GACGAACGCUGGCGGCGUGCCUAAUACAUGCAAGUCGAGCGCAGGAAACUGACGGAACUCUUCGGAGGGAAGGCAGUGGAAUGAGCGGCGGACGGGUGAGUAACACGUAAGGAACCUGCCUCAAGGAUUGGGAUAACUCCGAGAAAUCGGAGCUAAUACCGGAUAGUUCAACGGACCGCAUGGUCCGCUGAUGAAAGGCGCUUCGGCGUCACGUUGAGAUGGCCUUGCGGUGCAUUAGCUAGUUGGUGGGGUAACGGCCCACCAAGGCGAUGAUGCAUAGCCGACCUGAGAGGGUGAUCGGCCACACUGGGACUGAGACACGGCCCAGACUCCUACGGGAGGCAGCAGUAGGGAAUCUUCCACAAUGGACGAAAGUCUGAUGGAGCAACGCCGCGUGAGUGAUGAAGGUUUUCGGAUCGUAAAACUCUGUUGUAAGGGAAGAACACGUACGAGAGGGAAUGCUCGUACCUUGACGGUACCUUACGAGAAAGCCACGGCUAACUACGUGCCAGCCGCCGCGGUAA